This 193-nucleotide unclassified non-coding RNA is filed under the name Glomeraceae sp. RNAcentral's name for it is "partial contains 5.8S ribosomal RNA and internal transcribed spacer 2". The stretch from base 1 to 71 matches the Rfam family "5.8S ribosomal RNA", at positions 84 to 154 of the family's 154-position model. Lineage: Eukaryota; Fungi; Glomeromycota; Glomeromycetes; Glomerales; Glomeraceae. The record is from RNAcentral.
GUGAAUCAUCGAAUCUUUGAACGCACAUUGCACUCCCUGGUAUUCUGGGGAGUAUGCCUGUUUGAGGGUCGUUAGAAUAAAAAAUCGAUGCGUCUCUCUUUUUUUUAAGGGUGUUCGCGUGGGACUUGACCCGUCUUUCAAAUGUUAAUUCAUGUCAAGGUGGCUUGAAGUUCAUCCUACCGGUACGAUUGAA